Molecule: ribosomal RNA, 440 nt
Filed under: uncultured bacterium
Lineage: Bacteria
Description: partial 16S ribosomal RNA
Rfam family: Bacterial small subunit ribosomal RNA
Source: RNAcentral
CCUACGGGUGGCAGCAGUGGGGAAUAUUGCACAAUGGGGGAAACCCUGAUGCAGCGACGCCGCGUGAGGGAAGAAGUAAUUCGUUAUGUAAAGCCCUAUCAGCAGGGAAGAAAAUGACGGUAGCUGAGUAAUAAGCCACGGCUCACUACGUGCCAGCAGCCGCGGUAAUACGUAGGGGGCAAGCGUUAUCCGGAUUUACUGGGUGUAAAGGGAGCGUAGGCGGCAGUGCAAGGCUGGAGUGAAAUGCGGGGGCUCAACCCCCGGACUGCUCUGGAAACUGUACGUCUGGAGUGCGGGAGAGGUAAGUGGAAUUCCUAGUGUAGCGGUGAAAUGCGUAGAUAUUAGGAGGAACACCAGUGGCGAAGGCGGCCUGCUGGUCUUUUACUGACGCUGAGGCUCGAAAGUGUGGGGAGCAAACAGGAUUAGAUACCCCUGUAGUC